This 508-nucleotide ribosomal RNA is filed under the name Cenococcum geophilum. RNAcentral describes it as "eukaryotic LSU rRNA". The stretch from base 158 to 311 matches the Rfam family "5.8S ribosomal RNA". The record is from RNAcentral. Lineage: Eukaryota; Fungi; Ascomycota; Dothideomycetes; Gloniales; Gloniaceae.
CUGCGGAAGGAUCAUUACAGAAAGUAAACGCGGAUCAAACCGCGAACUUCUAAACCUUUGACGAUUGACUCAUGUUGCCUCGGCGGGUUCKCCCGCCAGAGGAUACAUCAAAACUCCUGUUUUAACGGUGUUGUCUGAGCUACAAGCAACGAAUCAAAACUUUCAACAACGGAUCUCUUGGUUCUGGCAUCGAUGAAGAACGCAGCGAAAUGCGAUAAGUAGUGUGAAUUGCAGAAUUCAGUGAAUCAUCGAAUCUUUGAACGCACAUUGCGCCCCUUGGUAUCCCGAGGGGCAUGCCUGUUCGAGCGUCAUUUCACCACUCAAGCCUGGCUUGGUGUUGGGCGACGUCCCCUUUGGGGACGCGCCUCGAAACGCUCGGCGGCGUGGCACCGGCUUUAAGCGUAGCAGAAUCUUUCGCUUUGAAAGUCGGGGCCCCGUCUGCCGGAAGACCUACUCGCAAGGUUGACCUCGGAUCAGGCAGGGAUACCCGCUGAACUUAAGCAUAUCA